CCCCCAAAAUCCUCCUUUGUCAUUGGCUGAAAAUGAUAUUUAAGAUGAGAAUUUCUGCUAUUGUGUUGAGAAACGCAGUGUCCCUGCUUUCUCCCAUGUAUACAUGUUAUUAAACUUGGUAUUAUUUUCUCCUGCUAACCUGUCUUGUUGAUUAUUUGGCCAGCCAGAAGAACCUUAAGGGAAAGGACAGAGGGAGAUUCUCCCUCUUCCUCCGACAGUUUUGGCGAGCCAGCCAGGAGAAGCACUGGCUGGUAAGUUGUCUUCUCUGGCUGGAAGACCUGCCUUCUCCCUGGACUACUGCAGAUGAUGAGAUACGGGAACGCCUGACGAAAGCCGGCAAAAGGACACAAUUAAAAACACUGGUUCUAUUACCAAGGUUGUGACUAGAACAUCAUAUUUACAAUAUAACCAUACAGCUUUUGAAGAAUGAAGAUUAGACUUUAUGGAAUAAAGCCACGUAAAAAUAUUGGCCUGGUACCUUAUGUUCCAAGCAACACUUACCAGGAUAAGUAAAGAAUGUCACUUAUCUGGCAAGAGACCGGGUGUACAUCAAGGUCUUUAGAAGAAAACAUGCACUGUCACCUCGCUGGGAAAGAUCUUAUGAAGUCUUACUGAUGACCUGCACUGCCAUCAAAAUAAAAGAAAAAUCUUCCUGGAUCCACGCGAGCCACGCCAAAAUAGACCCAGAUCAUCGCUCUCAAGACAACUGGGAGAUAAUCCCCACAGGUGACCUUAAACUAAGGAUUUCG
Diceros bicornis minor is the source of this 749-nucleotide long non-coding RNA. RefSeq lists it as uncharacterized. The transcript has 3 exons. Lineage: Eukaryota; Metazoa; Chordata; Mammalia; Perissodactyla; Rhinocerotidae. The record is from RefSeq and is a predicted model, not a curated record.